RNAcentral lists this ribosomal RNA (347 nucleotides) under uncultured Glomeraceae. RNAcentral describes it as "SSU rRNA". It matches the Rfam family "Eukaryotic small subunit ribosomal RNA", at positions 578 to 929 of the family's 1831-position model. The record is from RNAcentral. Lineage: Eukaryota; Fungi; Glomeromycota; Glomeromycetes; Glomerales; Glomeraceae.
GCUAAUUCCAGCUCCAAUAGCGUAUAUUAAAGUUGUUGCAGUUAAAAAGCUCGUAGUUGAAUUUCGGGGUCAGUAGGCUGGUCGUGCCCCCGGUACGUACUGGUCUAACUGAUUCCUCCUUCCUGAAGAACCGUAAUGCCAUUAAUUUGGUGUUGCGGGGAAACAGGACUGUUACUUUGAAAAAAUUAGAGUGUUUAAAGCAAGCUAACGCUUGAAUACAUUAGCAUGGAAUAAUGAAAUAGGACGAUCGAUCCUAUUUUGUUGGUUUCUAGGAUUGACGUAAUGAUUAAUAGGGAUAGUUGGGGGCAUUAGUAUUCAAUUGUCAGAGGUGAAAUUCUUGGAUUUAU